RNAcentral lists this ribosomal RNA (200 nucleotides) under Streptomyces cellulosae. RNAcentral describes it as "partial 16S ribosomal RNA". It matches the Rfam family "Bacterial small subunit ribosomal RNA", at positions 60 to 263 of the family's 1533-position model. The record is from RNAcentral. Lineage: Bacteria; Bacillati; Actinomycetota; Actinomycetes; Kitasatosporales; Streptomycetaceae.
AGUCGAACGAUGAACCACUUCGGUGGGGAUUAGUGGCGAACGGGUGAGUAACACGUGGGCAAUCUGCCCUGCACUCUGGGACAAGCCCUGGAAACGGGGUCUAAUACCGGAUACUGAUCGCCUUGGGCAUCCUUGGUGAUCGAAAGCUCCGGCGGUGCAGGAUGAGCCCGCGGCCUAUCAUCUUGUUGGUGAGGGAAUGG